GGGGAAUAUUGGACAAUGGGCGAAAGCCUGAUCCAGCCAAGCCGCGAGUGUGACGAAGGUGUUCGGAUUGUAACGCACUAUAAGUUGGGAGGAAGGGCUGCAAGUUAAUACCUUGUAGUUUUGACGUUACCAACAGAAUAAGCACCGGCUAACUUCGUGCCAGCAGCCGCGGUAAUACGAAGGGUGCAAGCGUUAAUCGGAAUUACUGGGCGUAAAGCGCGCGUAGGUGGUUCGUUAAGUUGGAUGUGAAAGCCCCGGGCUCAACCUGGGAACUGCAGCCAAAACUGGCGAGCUCGAGUAUGGCAGAGGGUGGUGGAAUUUCCUGUGUAGCGGUGAAAUGCGUAGAUAUAGGAAGGAACACCAGUGGCGAAGGCGACCACCUGGGCUAAUACUGACACUGAGGUGCGAAAGCGUGUGGAGCAAACA
RNAcentral lists this ribosomal RNA (426 nucleotides) under uncultured Pseudomonadaceae bacterium. RNAcentral's name for it is "bacterial SSU rRNA". It matches the Rfam family "Bacterial small subunit ribosomal RNA", at positions 356 to 774 of the family's 1533-position model. Lineage: Bacteria; Pseudomonadati; Pseudomonadota; Gammaproteobacteria; Pseudomonadales; Pseudomonadaceae. The record is from RNAcentral.